GAUGAAGAACGUAGUGAAAUGCGAUACGUAAUGUGAAUUGCAGAAUUCAGUGAAUCAUCGAGUCUUUGAACGCACAUUGCGCCCCCUGGUAUUCCGGGGGGCAUGCCUGUCCGAGCGUCAUUGCUGCCCUCAAGCACGGCUUGUGUGUUGGGCCCCGCCCCCCGGCUCCCGGGGGGCGGGCCCGAAAGGCAGCGGCGGCACCGCGUCCGGUCCUCGAGCGUAUGGGGCUUCGUCACCCGCUCCGUAGGCCCGGCCGGCGCCCGCCGGCGACCCCCCUCAAUCUUUUCAGGUUGACCUCGGAUCAGGUAGGGAUACCCGCUGAACUUAAGCAUAUCAAUAAGCGGAGGA
This 348-nucleotide unclassified non-coding RNA is filed under the name soil metagenome. Its description in RNAcentral is "partial contains 5.8S ribosomal RNA, internal transcribed spacer 2, and large subunit ribosomal RNA". The stretch from base 1 to 120 matches the Rfam family "5.8S ribosomal RNA", at positions 35 to 154 of the family's 154-position model. The record is from RNAcentral.